RNAcentral lists this ribosomal RNA (424 nucleotides) under uncultured prokaryote. RNAcentral's name for it is "bacterial SSU rRNA". It matches the Rfam family "Bacterial small subunit ribosomal RNA", at positions 355 to 796 of the family's 1533-position model. The record is from RNAcentral.
UGGGGAAUAUUGGACAAUGGGCGCAAGCCUGAUCCAGCCAUGCCGCGUGAGUGAAGAAGGCCCUCGGGUUGUAAAGCUCUUUCAGCGGGGACGAUGAUGACGGUACCCGCAGAAGAAGCCCCGGCCAACUCCGUGCCAGCAGCCGCGGUAAUACGGAGGGGGCUAGCGUUGUUCGGAAUUACUGGGCGUAAAGCGCACGUAGGCGGCUCGGCGAGUCAGGGGUGAAAGCCCGGGGCUCAACCUCGGAAUUGCCUUUGAUACUGCCGGGCUAGAAUCCGCGAGAGGGUGGUGGAAUUCCUAGUGUAGAGGUGAAAUUCGUAGAUAUUAGGAAGAACACCAGUGGCGAAGGCGGCCACCUGGCGCGGCAUUGACGCUGAGGUGCGAAAGCGUGGGGAGCGAACAGGAUUAGAUACCCCCGUAGUCC